ACGCUCGACACCUACGGGGGCGAGCAGUGGGGAAUAUUGCACAAUGGGGGAAACCCUGAUGCAGCAACGCCGCGUGAAGGAAGACGGUUUUCGGAUUGUAAACUUCUGUUCUUAGUGAAGAUAGUGACGGUAGCUAAGGAGCAAGCCACGGCUAACUACGUGCCAGUAGCCGCGGUAAUCUGAGCGGGCUGGCAAGGC
RNAcentral lists this ribosomal RNA (198 nucleotides) under uncultured bacterium. RNAcentral describes it as "partial 16S ribosomal RNA". It matches the Rfam family "Bacterial small subunit ribosomal RNA", at positions 328 to 539 of the family's 1533-position model. The record is from RNAcentral.